RNAcentral lists this transfer RNA (75 nucleotides) under Candidatus Woesearchaeota archaeon. RNAcentral's name for it is "tRNA-Ser". The record is from RNAcentral. Lineage: Archaea; Nanobdellati; Candidatus Woesearchaeota.
GGGGCCGUGGGGUAGUUUGGACCAUCCUCCCAGCCUCGAGCGCUGGUGACCCGAAUUCAAAUUUCGGCGGCCCCA